RNAcentral lists this ribosomal RNA (305 nucleotides) under uncultured bacterium. RNAcentral describes it as "bacterial SSU rRNA". It matches the Rfam family "Bacterial small subunit ribosomal RNA", at positions 335 to 637 of the family's 1533-position model. The record is from RNAcentral.
GUUCCUACGGGGGGCAGCAGUGAGGAAUAUUGGUCAAUGGGCGGGAGCCUGAACCAGCCAAGUCGCGUGAGGGAAGACGGUCCUACGGAUUGUAAACCUCUUUUGCCGGGGAGCAACGGGGUCCUUGCGAGGGCCCGACGAGAGUACCUGAAGAAAAAGCAUCGGCUAACUCCGUGCCAGCAGCCGCGGUAAUACGGAGGAUGCGAGCGUUAUCCGGAUUUAUUGGGUUUAAAGGGUGCGUAGGCGGAAUGCCAAGUCAGCGGUAAAAUCGCGGGGCUCAACCUCGCUCCGCCGUUGAAACUGGG